CCUACGGGUGGCAGCAGUCGAGAAUCAUUCACAAUGGGCGAAAGCCUGAUGGUGUGACGCCGCGUGGAGGAUGACGGUCUUCGGAUUGUAAACUCCUGUCAUGUGGGAGUGAGUACCACAAGAGGAAGAGACGGCUAACUCUGUGCCAGCAGCCGCGGUAAUACAGAGGUCUCAAGCGUUGUUCGGAAUCACUGGGCGUAAAGGGUGCGUAGGCGGCGCGGAAAGUCAGGGGUGAAAUCCCGGAGCUCAACUCCGGAACUGCCUUUGAUACUCCCGUGCUAGAGAGCUGGAGGGGACAUCGGAAUUCACGGUGGAGCAGUGAAAUGCGUGGAUAUCGUGAGGAACACUAGUGGCGAAGGCGGAUGUCUGGACGUUCUGACGCUGAGGCACGAAGGCCAGGGGAGCGAACGGGAUUAGAUACCCUUGUAGUC
This 431-nucleotide ribosomal RNA is filed under the name uncultured bacterium. Its description in RNAcentral is "partial 16S ribosomal RNA". It matches the Rfam family "Bacterial small subunit ribosomal RNA", at positions 338 to 795 of the family's 1533-position model. The record is from RNAcentral.